CGCGCGUUUUUCGACUGUGG
Molecule: microRNA, 20 nt
Filed under: Schistosoma japonicum
Lineage: Eukaryota; Metazoa; Platyhelminthes; Trematoda; Strigeidida; Schistosomatidae
Description: sja-miR-5*
Source: RNAcentral